CUCGAGAAGCGNUUUCCCGGCGGAUCUAUCCUGCCUAAGUUGCUUGGAACAGCACAUCAGAGAGGGUGACAAUCCCGUUUGUGGCAGGGUNGACCGUUCAUGAUACGCUUUCUAUGAGUCGGGUUGCUUGGGAAUGCAGCCCAAAAUUGGUGGUAAACUCCAUCUAAAGCUAAAUAUUGGCACGAGACCGAUANCGAACAAGUACCGUGAGGGAAAGAUGAAA
This 223-nucleotide ribosomal RNA is filed under the name Aurelia aurita (moon jelly). RNAcentral describes it as "partial large subunit ribosomal RNA". It matches the Rfam family "Eukaryotic large subunit ribosomal RNA", at positions 150 to 369 of the family's 3401-position model. The record is from RNAcentral. Lineage: Eukaryota; Metazoa; Cnidaria; Scyphozoa; Semaeostomeae; Ulmaridae.